RNAcentral lists this ribosomal RNA (450 nucleotides) under uncultured bacterium. RNAcentral's name for it is "bacterial SSU rRNA". It matches the Rfam family "Bacterial small subunit ribosomal RNA", at positions 354 to 796 of the family's 1533-position model. The record is from RNAcentral.
GUGGGGAAUAUUGGACAAUGGGCGAAAGCCUGAUCCAGCCAUGCCGCGUGUGUGAAGAAGGUCUUCGGAUUGUAAAGCACUUUAAGUUGGGAGGAAGGGCAGUAAGUUAAUACCUUGCUGUUUUGACGUUACCGACAGAAUAAGCACCGGCUAACUUCGUGCCAGCAGCCGCGGUAAUACGAAGGAUGCAAGCGUUAAUCGGAAUUACUGGGCGUAAAGCGCGCGUAGGUGGUUGUGUAAGUUGGAGGUGAAAUCCCCGGGCUCAACCUGGGAACUGCCUCCAAAACUGCAUGACUAGAGUACGGUAGAGGGUAGUGGAAUUUCCUGUGUAGCGGUGAAAUGCGUAGAUAUAGGAAGGAACACCAGUGGCGAAGGCGACUACCUGGACUGAUACUGACACUGAGGUGCGAAAGCGUGGGGAGCAAACAGGAUUAGAUACCCCGGUAGUCC